Molecule: long non-coding RNA, 1597 nt
Filed under: Homo sapiens (human)
Lineage: Eukaryota; Metazoa; Chordata; Mammalia; Primates; Hominidae
Description: HSALNT0366017
Source: RNAcentral
UGGGAAGGGCCUUCACACAGAGGCCCGCCCCCAUCUCGCCCCUCCUCGCGGUGCUCCCGACCGCGCAGAGGUCUCUGGGAAAUGUAGUUUUCUUCUGCCUGGAGCUCUGCGCGGGGCGACGCAGCUGGGCUGCAACCCGCUCCUCCAGGGACGGGUAGUGUGACGUUUGGGGUCAGAACGCACCACUUUCGGGCACCCCCACUUAAGAUUGCUCAACUGCUUUGAGCUCAGAAAGCAAGGUGUAAAGGUGGGGGAAAAGCACUUUCGUCUCAGAAUUACAGCUACUGGUAUGGAAAAGCUGGGGCCCUUCGCUGGUGUGAGUCCUAAGGAUGUCUAAAUGGAACGUGCAUCUGCUACAGGCUCGCACUUUCCUUUAUUGCGCUUCCCAGUUAUACUCCACUGUUCUGACCAGAAACCCAAAUACUAUUGACUCAGUUUAACAUUGUGUGUGCAGAAUGCCCUCAUAGAAGCUGAUGAAACACAAUUUGGAUUUUUACAACAGUGAUUUUCAAAGGGGUAAGCAUGAGAGGUGGGAGUGGGGUUCAUGUGCCCCCCCUGAGGGAAGCAUCAGAAUGUGAGGUGGUUGUAACUACAGAAGUUUCUUCUGUUCGCACCAGAGAUGUUAAUAUUUGCUGCCCUUCUAUUCACUGUCUUCUCUUACAGACUUCCUGCUGUUGUAAGCAACCACUACAGAUUUCUCAGAAGUACUGUGGCAAAUAAAAAUGAUUGAGAAUCAUUAUACAUUUUCUAUUCUACUAGAGAGACAGUUUAAAAUAAAAUAGAAUGCUAAGACCACCAUGCAGUGGAAAAGCUCCAUCUACCAGAAGAUGAGAAGCCAUGUGGAGAACUAAGACUUCCCAGCCAAUAGCCAGCACCAACUGCCAGACACGUAAGUGAGGCCAUCUUGAACCCUCCAACCCUAGAUGUAUUCACGGUUCUCCAGAGAAACAGAACCAAUAAGAUGUGUGUGUGUGUGUGUGUGUGUGUUUAUAAAGAUAUUUAUUUUAAGGACUUGACUCACUUGAUUAUAGAGCUUCCAAGUCCAAAAUCUGCAGGGUGGGUUGGCAGGCUGGAGGCCAGGGAAAAGGUGAUGCUACAGUUCAAGUCUGAGAGCCAUCUACUGGCAAAAUUCCUUCUUGCUCAUGGAAGGUCAGUCUUUUGUUCUAUUCAGGCCUUCAGUUGAUUGGAUAAGGCCUACUCACAUUAUGGAGGGCAAUCUGCGUUAUUCAAAGUCCCCUGAUUUGUUACUCAGAGGUGAGAAAAAUCAUGGUGUACUAAAGUCACCACAAAAACUUCUGUAGAUCAUAUGGAGAAGCAGGAGAGAUGAAGCUGGAGAGCAAAGCAGCAAAUCAGCAAUUAAAAAAGAUGUUUGGAGUUGUUGAGUUUGGAGAUGAAAAGUGACAAGAUGAAUUCUGGAUUUUAGACAAAGCAAUCCAACGUGUGGAUGGAGAGGGAUUUGAGAGGAGAAAUCAGCUGUUGUCAGUAAGAGUAUUUAAAUUAGGAUACUGGUAACGGGGAUGGAGAGACACACGAUUAUACAUGGGAAGUGAGAGCAGAAAGAAUUAGGAUUAUUUCUUGAUUUUUUUUUUUUUUUUUU